AGACCCGAAACCCGGUGAUCUAGCCAUGGGCAGGUUGAAGGUUGGGUAACACUAACUGGAGGACCGAACCGACUAAUGUUGAAAAAUUAGCGGAUGACCUGUGGCUGGGGGUGAAAGGCCAAUCAAACCGGGAGAUAGCUGGUUCUCCCCGAAAGCUAUUUAGGUAGCGCCUCGUGAAUUCAUCUCCGGGGGUAGAGCACUGUUUCGGCUAGGGGGCCAUCCCGGCUUACCAACCCGAUGCAAACUGCGAAUACCGGAGAAUGUUAUCACGGGAGACACACGGCGGGUGCUAACGUCCGUCGUGAAGAGGGAAACAACCCAGACCGCCAGCUAAGGUCCCAAAGUCAUGGUUAAGUGGGAAACGAUGUGGGAAGGCCCAGACAGCCAGGAUGUUGGCUUAGAAGCAGCCAUCAUUUAAAGAAAGCGUAAUAGCUCACUGGUCGAGUCGGCCUGCGCGGAAGAUGUAACGGGGCUAAACCAUGCACCGAAGCUGCGGCAGCGAACGUAUCACCCAAGACAACUUUGCGGAGUUGACGAUUGACGGAGCGAAGCGACGUCAAAGCGUUCAUUAAAGUCGAGUUGGCUUAGGGAUACGUUCGUUGGGUAGGGGAGCGUUCUGUAAGCCUGUGAAGGUAUGCUGUGAGGCAUGCUGGAGGUAUCAGAAGUGCGAAUGCUGACAUAAGUAACGAUAAAGCGGGUGAAAAGCCCGCUCGCCGGAAGACCAAGGGUUCCUGUCCAACGUUAAUCGGGGCAGGGUGAGUCGACCCCUAAGGCGAGGCCGAAAGGCGUAGUCGAUGGGAAACGGGUUAAUAUUCCCGUACUUGGUGUUACUGCGAAGGGGGGACGGAGAAGGCUAUGUUGGCCGGGCGACGGUU
RNAcentral lists this ribosomal RNA (875 nucleotides) under Salmonella enterica subsp. enterica serovar Indiana. Its description in RNAcentral is "partial 23S ribosomal RNA". It matches the Rfam family "Bacterial large subunit ribosomal RNA", at positions 711 to 1503 of the family's 2925-position model. Lineage: Bacteria; Pseudomonadati; Pseudomonadota; Gammaproteobacteria; Enterobacterales; Enterobacteriaceae. The record is from RNAcentral.